AACGAACGCUGGCGGCAUGCCUAACACAUGCAAGUCGAACGAGACCUUCGGGUCUAGUGGCGCACGGGUGCGUAACGCGUGGGAACCUGCCCUUAGGUUCGGAAUAACUCCCCGAAAGGGGUGCUAAUACCGGAUAAUGUCUUCGGACCAAAGAUUUAUCGCCUUUGGAUGGGCCCGCGUUGGAUUAGCUAGUUGGUAGGGUAAAAGCCUACCAAGGCGACGAUCCAUAGCUGGUCUGAGAGGAUGAUCAGCCACACUGGGACUGAGACACGGCCCAGACUCCUACGGGAGGCAGCAGUGGGGAAUAGUGGACAAUGGGCGAAAGCCUGAUCCAGCAAUGCCGCGUGAGUGAUGAAGGCACUAGGGUUGUAAAGCUCUUUUACCCGGGAUGAUAAUGACAGUACCGGGAGAAUAAGCGCCGGCUAACUCCGUG
This 433-nucleotide ribosomal RNA is filed under the name uncultured bacterium. RNAcentral's name for it is "partial 16S ribosomal RNA". It matches the Rfam family "Bacterial small subunit ribosomal RNA", at positions 29 to 507 of the family's 1533-position model. The record is from RNAcentral.